RNAcentral lists this ribosomal RNA (521 nucleotides) under Ophioplinthus gelida. RNAcentral describes it as "LSU rRNA". It matches the Rfam family "Bacterial large subunit ribosomal RNA", at positions 1809 to 2620 of the family's 2925-position model. The record is from RNAcentral. Lineage: Eukaryota; Metazoa; Echinodermata; Ophiuroidea; Amphilepidida; Ophiuridae.
AAAAACAUCGCCCCCAGAUAAUAAUUGAGGGGUUUUGCCUGCCCAGUGAUAAUUUUUAUUUAACGGCUGCGGUACUCUGACCGUACAAAGGUAGCAUAAUCAUUUGCCUAUUAAUUGUAGGCUGGAAUCAAUGGCUUGACGAGGAGAAAACUGUCUUUCUUUAUAUUAUUUGAAUUUAGUUUUUUGGUGAAGAAACCAAAAUUUUGAAAUGGGACGAGAAGACCCUAUUGAGCUUUAGUUUUAAUUAUAAUUAAUUAUAAGAAUGAGCUUUGGUUGGGGCAACUAAUCUUAUAUUAAGACAAGGUUAAUAAUAAAAGAUUUAAAUCUAAAGUUGACCCACAAUUUUGUGGAAAAUAGAAAAAGUUACCAUAGGGAUAACAGCGUAAUUUUCUUUGAGAGUACAUAUUGACAAGAAAGUUUGCGACCUCGAUGUUGGAUCAAGAUAUCCUGGAGGUGUAGCCGUUUCCAAAGGUGGGUUUGUUCAACCUAUAAAAUCUUACGUGAUCUGAGUUCAGACCGGA